AUACUAGACUGUGAGCUCCUCGA
This 23-nucleotide microRNA is filed under the name Rattus norvegicus (Norway rat). RNAcentral's name for it is "rno-miR-3586-3p". Lineage: Eukaryota; Metazoa; Chordata; Mammalia; Rodentia; Muridae. The record is from miRBase by way of RNAcentral.